This 320-nucleotide ribosomal RNA is filed under the name Clostridioides difficile. Its description in RNAcentral is "partial 16S ribosomal RNA". It matches the Rfam family "Bacterial small subunit ribosomal RNA", at positions 1223 to 1533 of the family's 1533-position model. The record is from RNAcentral. Lineage: Bacteria; Bacillati; Bacillota; Clostridia; Peptostreptococcales; Peptostreptococcaceae.
UGCUACAAUGGGUAGUACAGAGGGUUGCCAAGCCGUAAGGUGGAGCUAAUCCCUUAAAGCUACUCUCAGUUCGGAUUGUAGGCUGAAACUCGCCUACAUGAAGCUGGAGUUACUAGUACUCGCAGAUCAGAAUGCUGCGGUGAAUGCGUUCCCGGGUCUUGUACACACCGCCCGUCACACCCCGGGAGUUGGAGACGCCCGAAGCCGACUAUCUAACCUUUUGGAAGAAGUCGUCGAAGGUGGAAUCAAUAACUGGGGUGAAGUCGUAACAAGGUAGCCGUAUCGGAAGGUGCGGCUGGAUCACCUCCUUUCUAAGGAGA